Coccinella septempunctata (seven-spotted ladybird) is the source of this 792-nucleotide long non-coding RNA. RefSeq lists it as uncharacterized. Lineage: Eukaryota; Metazoa; Arthropoda; Insecta; Coleoptera; Coccinellidae. The record is from RefSeq and is a predicted model, not a curated record. The transcript is spliced from 4 exons.
CGAGAAUAAGAAACGUGCAAAUUGAUGAAUGGCUGGAAGGACUGAGUAAAAAAUGAUCGUGAUCCUAUUUUCAAUAUUACUUCUGGCUCUACAAUGAUCAUGAGAUGGAAUCAAUCUCUGAGCAGUGCGGUACAAGUACCAUGUGAUCACGCAAGAUAUGGAAUAUAUUGAAGAAUGUCUUGUUUACAUAGCUCCGGGGUCAGCAAUUAAGGUCCAACCGACAACAACUAUACGAAUUGAACGGCGAGGACCCAGAAAGGCAAACACCAGGCGAAAAGAAAAGAUUAGACUGAGGGGUCUUGGAGAACAGUUUUUCCCUUUGAGAGCUGGGCUGGGACCCUGAGGGGUCUUGGAGAACAGUCUUGUCCCGUUUAGGGCUGGGCUGCCAAGGGAUCUCCCUGAGGGGUCUUGGGGAACUGUCUUGUCUCUUCCAGGGCUGGGCUGCCAAGGGAUCUCCCUGAGGGGUCUUGGAGAACAGUCUUGUCCCUUUCCGGGCUGGGCUGCCAAGGGAUCUCCCUGAGGGGUCUUGGAGAACAGUCUUGUCCCUUCUAGAGCUGGGCUGCCAAGGGAUCUCCCUGAGGGGUCUUGGAGAACAGUCUUGUCCCUUUCCGGACUGGGCUGCCAAGGGAUCUCCCUGAGGGGUCUUGGGGAAGAGCCUUGUCUCUUUCAGGGCCAGGCUGCCAAGGGAUCUCCCUAAGGUCUUUUCCUACUUGAGCCAUCGAUAGACCAAGGUGUGAUGAAGCAAGAUUUGAACGUCAAGAAAAUAUAACGUGAAUUGGGACCCAGCUACCC